CCGGCAGUAAAGGGUGAUAGCCCCGUAUCCGAAGGUGUUAGUGUUGUGAACUCGACGAGUAGGGCGGGACACGUGUUAUCCUGUCUGAAUAUGGGGGGACCAUCCUCCAAGGCUAAAUACUCCUGAUUGACCGAUAGUGAACCAGUACCGUGAGGGAAAGGCGAAAAGAACCCCGGCGAGGGGAGUGAAAUAGAACCUGAAACCGUGUACGUACAAGCAGUGGGAGC
Molecule: ribosomal RNA, 227 nt
Filed under: Providencia rettgeri
Lineage: Bacteria; Pseudomonadati; Pseudomonadota; Gammaproteobacteria; Enterobacterales; Morganellaceae
Description: partial 23S ribosomal RNA
Rfam family: Bacterial large subunit ribosomal RNA
Source: RNAcentral